AUGGAUACAACCAUGUUUGAUGCAAAAAAUCCUAUGAUGGAAUGGUUGAAUGAGGAUGAGGAGCAUGCAAUCUUGGAUGGAGUUGAUGCUGCUACCGCCGUGUUUGAGAAAAUACGUUUGCUUAACUCAAGUAGGAAAGUGUCUCGUCUUGCAAGGAAGGACAAUGGCAGGAAAAGAAAGAGGGUAGAGGAAGAAGAGGAUGACUACCAUGAUAGUGAGGAUGAUGAUGAAGAAAAUGAGGACCUGGAACUGGAAAUUGAUGAUGAUGAUGAUGAUAGCCAUGAUGAUGGUGCAAGUCAAUCUGAUGGAGGAGAUUUGCCAAUGCAAGUUGAAAAGGAUUUAGCAAGCCAAGUUGGAAACGAUGUUGAGGUAACAAGUGAUGGUAGUUUGGUUAACCGUAGAUCUGAACGGGUUAGGCAAGCCAAGAAGGUCAAGGAGGUAGAUCACCAGCCUUUACAAUUGACAAGUUAA
RNAcentral lists this ribosomal RNA (471 nucleotides) under Triticum aestivum (bread wheat). RNAcentral's name for it is "partial small subunit ribosomal RNA". The record is from RNAcentral. Lineage: Eukaryota; Viridiplantae; Streptophyta; Magnoliopsida; Poales; Poaceae.